Molecule: non-coding RNA, 182 nt
Filed under: Allobosea sp.
Lineage: Bacteria; Pseudomonadati; Pseudomonadota; Alphaproteobacteria; Hyphomicrobiales; Alloboseaceae
Source: RNAcentral
GCUAAUGAUCGUGGCGACGGUGCCUCGGAGACGAGGUGAAAAGGGAACGCGGUGCGAUACCGCGGCUGCCCCCGCAACUGUAAGCGGCGCGUCCUGUGCCAUCGGCCACUGGGUUUCCCCGGGAAGGCGGAGCAGGACAUCAAGCCGCGAGCCAGGAGACCUGCCGUCUUUCGAUGUCGUCC